Ovis aries (sheep) is the source of this 73-nucleotide transfer RNA. It matches the Rfam family "tRNA". From Rfam's summary of the family: Transfer RNA (tRNA) molecules are approximately 80 nucleotides in length. Their secondary structure includes four short double-helical elements and three loops (D, anti-codon, and T loops). Lineage: Eukaryota; Metazoa; Chordata; Mammalia; Artiodactyla; Bovidae. The record is from Rfam.
UCCCUGGUGGCUCAUAUGGUAAAGGCAUCUGCCUACUAUGCGGGAGACCCAGGUUUGAUUCCUGGGUUGGGAA